GGAAGGUGGGGAGUGACGUCAAGUCAUCAUGGCCCUUACGGCCUGGGCGUACACACGUGCUACAAUGGUCGGUACAAAGGGUUGCCAAGCCGCGAGGUGGAGCUAAUCCCAUAAAACCGAUCGUAGUCCGGAUCGCAGUCUGCAACUCGACUGCGUGAAGUCGGAAUCGCUAGUAAUCGUGAAUCAGAAUGUCACGGUGAAUACGUUCCCGGGCCUU
Molecule: ribosomal RNA, 217 nt
Filed under: uncultured Pseudomonas sp.
Lineage: Bacteria; Pseudomonadati; Pseudomonadota; Gammaproteobacteria; Pseudomonadales; Pseudomonadaceae
Description: partial 16S ribosomal RNA
Rfam family: Bacterial small subunit ribosomal RNA
Source: RNAcentral